AUUGAACGCUGGCGGCAGGCUUAACACAUGCAAGUCGAGCGGAGAGAGGUAGCUUGCUACUGAUCUUAGCGGCGGACGGGUGAGUAAUGCUUAGGAAUCUGCCUAUUAGUGGGGGACAACAUUUCGAAAGGAAUGCUAAUACCGCAUACGUCCUAUGGGAGAAAGCAGGGGAUCUUCGGACCUUGCGCUAAUAGAUGAGCCUAAGUCGGAUUAGCUAGUUGGUGGGGUAAAGGCCUACCAAGGCGACGAUCUGUAGCGUGUCUGAGAGGAUGAUCAGCCACACUGGGACUGAGAAACGGCCCAGACUCCUACGGGAUGAAGCAGUGUGGAAUAUUGGACAAUGGGCGCAAGCCUGAUCCAGCCAUGCCGCGUGUGUGAAGAAGGCCUUAUGGUUGUAAAGCACUUUAAGCGAGGAGGAGGCUACUUUAGAUAAUACCUAGAGAUAGUGGACGUUACUCGCAGAAUAAGCACCGGCUAACUCUGUGCCAGCCGCCGCAGUAA
This 501-nucleotide ribosomal RNA is filed under the name uncultured bacterium. RNAcentral describes it as "partial 16S ribosomal RNA". It matches the Rfam family "Bacterial small subunit ribosomal RNA", at positions 30 to 523 of the family's 1533-position model. The record is from RNAcentral.